RNAcentral lists this ribosomal RNA (853 nucleotides) under uncultured Methanogenium sp. RNAcentral describes it as "bacterial SSU rRNA". It matches the Rfam family "Archaeal small subunit ribosomal RNA", at positions 5 to 863 of the family's 1478-position model. Lineage: Archaea; Methanobacteriati; Methanobacteriota; Methanomicrobia; Methanomicrobiales; Methanomicrobiaceae. The record is from RNAcentral.
CGGUUGAUCCUGCCGGAGGUCACUGCUAUCGGGGUUCGAUUAAGCCAUGCGAGUUGAGAGGGUUAAGACCCUCAGCGGACUGCUCAGUAACACGUGGAUAACCUGCCCUAAGGUGGAGAAUAACCCCGGGAAACUGGGGAUAAUACUCCAUAGACUAGAGCUACUGGAAUGUUCUUUAGUCGAAAGUUGAGGCGCCUUAGGAUGGAUCUGCGGUCGAUUAGGUUGUUGUUGGGGUAACGGCCCAACAAGCCUGUAAUCGAUACGGGUUGUGGGAGCAAGAGCCCGGAGAUGGAAUCUGAGACACGAUUCCAGGCCCUACGGGGCGCAGCAGGCGCGAAAACUUUACAAUGCAGGAAACUGUGAUAAGGGAACCCCGAGUGCCCGUAUACGCGGGCUGUCCAGGUGUUUAAAAAGCAUCUGAAGAAAGGGCCGGGCAAGACCGGUGCCAGCCGCCGCGGUAAUACCGGCGGCUCGAGUGGUGGCCACUAUUAUUGGGCUUAAAGCGUCCGUAGCUGGACCCUUAAGUCUCUUGGGAAAUCCGCCGGCUUAACCGGCGGGCAUCCAGGAGAUACUGAGUGUCUAGGGACCGGGAGAGGUGAGAGGUACUCCGGGGGUAGGAGUGAAAUCCUGUAAUCCCCGGGGGACCACCGAUGGCGAANGCAUCUCACCAGAACGGCUCCGACAGUGAGGGACNAAAGCUGGGGGAGCGAANCNGNAUUANAUACCCGGGUAGUCCCAGCCGUAAACUAUGCGCGUUANGUGUACUGGUGACCAUGAGUCACUNGGGGUGCCNAANNGNAACCGUGAAACGUGCCGCCNGGGAAGUACGGUCGCAAGGCUGAAANUUAAAGNA